RNAcentral lists this ribosomal RNA (497 nucleotides) under uncultured bacterium. RNAcentral describes it as "partial 16S ribosomal RNA". It matches the Rfam family "Bacterial small subunit ribosomal RNA", at positions 28 to 507 of the family's 1533-position model. The record is from RNAcentral.
GAUGAACGCUGGCGGUGUGCCUAAUACAUGCAAGUCGAGCGAACGGACGAGAAGCUUGCUUCUCUGAUGUUAGCGGCGGACGGGUGAGUAACACGUGGAUAACCUACCUAUAAGACUGGGAUAACUUCGGGAAACCGGAGCUAAUACCGGAUAAUAUUUUGAACCGCAUGGUUCAAAAGUGAAAGACGGUCUUGCUGUCACUUUUAGAUGGAUCCGCGCUGCAUUAGCUAGUUGGUAAGGUAACGGCUUACCAAGGCAACGAUGCAUAGCCGACCUGAGAGGGUGAUCGGCCACACUGGAACUGAGACACGGUCCAGACUCUUACGGGAGGCAGCAGUAGGGAAUCUUCCGCAAUGGGCGAAAGCCUGACGGAGCAACGCCGCGUGAGUGAUGAAGGUCUUCGGAUCGUAAAACUCUGUUAUUAGGGAAGAACAUAUGUGUAAGUAACUGUGCACAUCUUGACGGUACCUAAUCAGAAAGCCACGGCUAACUACGUG